GUCUCGAACUCCUGACCUCAGGUGAUCUGCCCACCCCAGCCUCCCAAAGUGCUGGGAUUACAUGUGUGAGCCACCACACCCAGCCCUUAAAAAAUUACUUCUUGGAGUGGGUUGUAUUUAAAUUUUUUAAAAACCACCAAUGAAGUGGUUAAGAAUAUAGGCUUUAGCAACAGGGCUACCUGAGUUUAUUCUCAGUUCUUUAUUUUACCAGCUCUGUGAUCUUGAGUAUAUUACUUACUGUUUUUACCUCAGUUACCUCAUUUAUAGGAUCCUAUCUCAUAGGGACUUUUGAGGAGUAAAUGAAUUCAUUCAAGUUAAGCACUUUGAACAGUGCCUUAGUAAUUAACAAUUAGCUAAUGUUACUUUCCCAAUGUUAUGUGGGUUAGUAAGUGGUAAAACCUACCAGAUUCCCAUUCUGUCUGACAAAGUCUAGUCUCUUAGCUACUGUGUGUCGCUGCCUGAGUGUGAAAUCUAAAGCAAUUUUACAGUAAUUUAUGUGGCCCCUCAAAACAAACAAAUCAACAAAAUUAAAAAGUCUCCCUUUAUAAUAAAUGGUACCAGUACAUGAAAAUACUGGGGAUGCCUUUUUCUCAGGGACUUGGCUGAUUUGGCAUAACCUUAUCUCUGAGGGAAAACAAGUUUUGUGACUUGUUCCACUCUGAAUUUCAAGAGAGGAAUAUGUGGAAGGUACUGAGUGCUUUUGACAUAUAGAGAACAAAGCGAUGACUCACUUAAACCCUGAUAGUAGGGGCACCAUAUAAAUUAUUAUAUCUAAAGGGAGUCAGGUCAAAGAAGAAAUCUUGCAAGAAUCUGGAGGGAGAUCUGUUGUCUAAAAGCUUAUUAGGUGACUAGGGUAUCGGUUUUGCUAGUGUUUGUUUUUAUCUUGUUUUUUCCCUUCCUCAGUUCCAGCAGGCAUUUUAGUGAUCUCUUGAAACACGUUUUGACUCUACUUGGUGAUUGAAAUACACAGCCAGGCUGUGUUGCUUUUAUAAGCUCUGAAAGUUUAAGAAUUUAGGAAGCUAAUGACUGUCUUAAAUUACAGUUAAAUCUAAUUGAUAAAAUCCUGGGACAUUGAACGAUUGAUUUUAGUAUUCAGCUAAUAACCCAUUUAAAAUGAAUUCCAUACUUCUUUCAACUUGCUUGACUGAAGAGUAAUUUUGUCGCUAGUUACUGUAUUACUGGAAAAUGUAUUCCUAGGCUUUAAGAUUUGGGAAGCGUGUGAGUCUAACUUCUCAAACAGAAUUUGACAAGGACGUAGCAGUGUUUUAAAAAGUCAGGGAAAGGAAAGAGGUGUGUUCAGCAUUCCUGCCCCAUCUUAACAUAUUCUUUUUCUCGUCUUAACAGUGGUAAUAUUUUAUGUUAUUUUGGUUUGAUUUUUGUUUGUGGCAUAUGGCUCUGCUGUCCUGUGACUCUAAGUAGAAGAGAAAAUAGUGCCAAUAAUUCUUCAUGGAGAUGCACCUCUCUCAAGUCUUGAACAAUGUUUGAGGAAAAGUGCUUUCAGCUGGGCUGAUGAGAACACCUUGGCACUCUUUCCUGCAAUGGGCACUGAUUGAGGGUCUUCCUGGUGUGGCAUCAUCAAAUCCCUGUUGCUCAAACCCACUAAUUAGCUCAUUCUUAUCUACAAGUAGCAGGGGCCCUAAAGCUCUCUGAGAAGAUCUCAUACUGUGUCUCCUACAUUUCAUCUUCUAUAAUCUCUUAUUCUUAGAGACAGAAAGAUGGUUAAAAGACAUCACUUCAUUUCUUUCUCUGGAUUUGGAAAGAGUUAUAUAUUGGGAUUAUGCUGUUAGUUUACACUUGCAUUGUUUAAAUUAGAGGAAAGGUUAUUUUGUGCAGAACAAAUAAAAAUUACUCUUUAACUACCUUUCAGAAUAUCCCAACUUUUAACAUAAGCUGUUUUGUAAAGGCUGGUUGUAGUGACUUGCUUCAUAAUAGAC
Long non-coding RNA from Homo sapiens (human), 1934 nucleotides. Ensembl annotates it as palmitic acid regulated anti-inflammatory lncRNA. Its record names the gene PARAIL. NCBI's taxonomy places the organism in Eukaryota, Metazoa, Chordata, Mammalia, Primates, Hominidae. The record is from Ensembl.